GAAUGGAGAAUCCAGACUUUCUCAUGCAGCACGAAACAGUUUUCAAAGAUGUAGCCAGAAUAUAUUUUAGAAAAACAAACACUGAGCUUACCGUCAUAUAUUUCUGUUACUGAUUGUUUUUGUGCAAGUAACCGAGUACUAAUAUAAAAAGAGGAGGCGAGACUGUGUGGAGAUGCCUGCUGGGAAGGUGGACAGACGGACGGUGAGGAAAAGGUUGCCAGACCGCUCAGAACAGAUCGACUUGACGUUUUCUGACACGGUCACUAACUAAAUGCUUUCCCAUUCUCCAGUGCUUUCCGCCUCAUAACUCACCUCAUGUCAUCUGCAGGCUGAGAGAAUAGAGAAUGCGGUAAUGGAUCACCACAACCAGACCAUUCGAAAUGGUUACCGCAGGACGCAGCCCCUCCACAACAGGGUGGUGGAAGCCAAUUUCCCAUACUCCCCGGAUGAAGUCUCUAAGAACCACUUUUACAUGCACGAGAAGAUUUCACACGGUUUGAAACUAAAGAAAAUUAAGAAGAA
RNAcentral lists this long non-coding RNA (522 nucleotides) under Rattus norvegicus (Norway rat). RNAcentral's name for it is "long non-coding RNA NONRATT023879". The record is from RNAcentral. Lineage: Eukaryota; Metazoa; Chordata; Mammalia; Rodentia; Muridae.